Molecule: long non-coding RNA, 897 nt
Organism: Ornithorhynchus anatinus (platypus)
Lineage: Eukaryota; Metazoa; Chordata; Mammalia; Monotremata; Ornithorhynchidae
Exons: 5
Source: RefSeq, a predicted model, not a curated record
GGGAUUCGAACCCAUGACCUCUGACUCACAAGCUCGGGCUCUUUCAACUGACCCACGCCGCUGCUCAGUAGAAGGUGGGCUCUCCGUAAAUUGGUAGCUUGGGAUGAAGGGUGGUGGUUUAGUUUUGCCACACUCCACCGGAGUCCCAAAGAAUAUACUAGGCAUUGUAAUUCAAGUUUUUUCAAACACUUAUUUUCUUAUCCCUUUAUCGCUGACUGGUUUAUUGCCUGGAGAACAAGGUUUGGUUUAGGUUGCCAGUGAAAAGUCUUUGAUUAUUUCUAGGGCUAUCCAGUCUUUGGGCUUAUUGUCAGCCUUUAGUUGCCCUUUCCUGCCUCUUCAGUGACAUCUGAAAGUCCCUCAUUCAUGAAUUUUGAGUGAAUUUUAGUGUACUUCUGUGUUCCUGAACUCUAACUGUUUUCUCUACAGAUCGAGGAAGUCCCCCGCUGAAUUAGAGAGACAAAAAUGAACACUUACAAAUGAGGGACCCUGAGAAGGGAUUUCAUAUUUCUACGAUAAAAGUUCCGCUGUCCUUGUCUGCUCCCUUGGAUUUGCCAGCAUUGUCUUUCAAGUAUAUCACUGGACCAUCCAUCAGAUCUCUCAGGACCAGGAAGUCAUAGUGCUGAGACAGCGGACUGCCGGGCUGGCACCUGGCGUUGGCACAGAACUCGGUGGACUUGUUAUUUUCAUUUUUGGAAAGCAUUUCAAAGAACCUCUUGCUGCCUUUAAAUAUGAAGUCAGGUUUAAUUAUUUAAAUAGAUGAUUACUGUUAUACAAGAAAUGUCCAGUGGAGACUGCCGAAAGUAAACCUCUCUACUCCGGGGUGAGCUCAGCUCGGAUCUCGACGGCAUCGCUGGAACAAUGCUUACGUUAGUCCUUAACGUGAGCGGUUAAAAACUC